Long non-coding RNA from Oncorhynchus masou masou (cherry salmon), 881 nucleotides. RefSeq lists it as uncharacterized. The record is from RefSeq and is a predicted model, not a curated record. NCBI's taxonomy places the organism in Eukaryota, Metazoa, Chordata, Actinopteri, Salmoniformes, Salmonidae. The transcript has 2 exons.
GUGACCGACAGUGGGACCCCUUUGUCCUAGCUAGCGAAGUAUCUAGCUAACGUUAGCUAGUUAGCGAUGCAGUUCAGGCAACCUACGGCAGUGCACCUUAUCCAUGGCCAGGAGGCAUAUCCUGUCCUUGAUGGUCCUCAGCCAGGACCACCACUGGUCGAUGAACAGGCUUUCAGGAGAGAUAAAGAUCAGCUGCAACGGAUCAUCAGGAAUUCCUGCCCAAAGAAUAGACAAAACAAAUAGAUGUGAUCGAUAGAUAGAUUGAUACAGAUGUAUUGUUGGAUCUUACUCUGUGCAGUGUCCUUUGUCAUGUCACCAUGAACGGCAACAGCAGACACUCCAAGGACCGUGUUGUUCUCCAGGUUGAAGCUGAUUAGUAAUUGCACAAAAUCACCUUUGAUUGUAAUGCAAUCACCCGGCAGUGAUGGUGUAGAUGGAAAGUUUGUGCAGUAAUAUGGAUCUGAUUUCCUGUCUACUUUAAGAUACUUCUCUUUUACUGCGGCUCUUUAAUUAUUUGUUACUUUUAUUUUUUUUAUUUUUUUGUGGUAUUUUUCUUAAAACUGCAUUGUUAGUUAAGGGCUUGUAAUGUGUUGUAUUCGGUGCAUGUGACAAAUACAAUUUGAUUUGAUUUGAAAUAUGUUUAAUUUCAUGGCAUAUAGAAAUGUUGUCAUAAAUCAUGUCUGAUGUACAUUCCUCUAUACAACAUGUGCUCACCUUUUCCAUUAAUGGGCCAAAGACCCAAAACAUGCACUGUUGCAGUAGCCAGUUAGCAAGAUUGCACAGACACUUUAGCCAUUUAAGAGGUUCCUCAAGACCUCUUUUUGUUGUAGUCUGAGCAUGUAUAUCUUGGAGAAUGCUAUUAAAUUCUUCCUCUUACAUUC